RNAcentral lists this ribosomal RNA (88 nucleotides) under Vibrio parahaemolyticus. The record is from RNAcentral. Lineage: Bacteria; Pseudomonadati; Pseudomonadota; Gammaproteobacteria; Vibrionales; Vibrionaceae.
CUGACUCCAUUCCGAACUCAGAAGUGAAACGAAAUAGCGCCGAUGGUAGUGUGGGGUUUCCCCAUGUGAGAGUAGGACAUCGCCAGGC